CCUACGGGGGGCAGCAGUGAGGAAUAUUGGUCAAUGGGCGAGAGCCUGAACCAGCCAAGUCGCGUGAGGGAAGACGGUCCUAUGGAUUGCAAACCUCUUUUGUCGGGGAGCAAAAAGACUACGUGUAGUCCCAAGCGAGAGUACCCGAAGAAAAAGCAUCGGCUAACUCCGUGCCAGCAGCCGCGGUAAUACGGAGGAUGCGAGCGUUAUCCGGAUUUAUUGGGUUUAAAGGGUGCGUAGGCGGAAUGCCAAGUCAGCGGUAAAAUCGCGGGGCUCAACCUCGCUCCGCCGUUGAAACUGGCGUU
This 305-nucleotide ribosomal RNA is filed under the name uncultured bacterium. RNAcentral's name for it is "bacterial SSU rRNA". It matches the Rfam family "Bacterial small subunit ribosomal RNA", at positions 338 to 640 of the family's 1533-position model. The record is from RNAcentral.